UAGCGGGGACAGGAUUUGAACCUGCGACCUCUGGGUUAUGAGCCCAGCGAGCUACCGAGCUGCUCCACCCCGCG
RNAcentral lists this transfer RNA (74 nucleotides) under Streptomyces albus. RNAcentral describes it as "tRNA-Met". RNAcentral also lists the same sequence under 3 other names. Lineage: Bacteria; Bacillati; Actinomycetota; Actinomycetes; Kitasatosporales; Streptomycetaceae. The record is from RNAcentral.